This 497-nucleotide ribosomal RNA is filed under the name uncultured bacterium. RNAcentral's name for it is "partial 16S ribosomal RNA". It matches the Rfam family "Bacterial small subunit ribosomal RNA", at positions 28 to 507 of the family's 1533-position model. The record is from RNAcentral.
GAUGAACGCUGGCGGCGUGCCUAAUACAUGCAAGUCGAGCGAACGGACGAGAAGCUUGCUUCUCUGAUGUUAGCGGCGGACGGGUGAGUAACACGUGGAUAACCUACCUAUAAGACUGGGAUAACUUCGGGAAACCGGAGCUAAUACCGGAUAAUAUUUUGAACCGCAUGGUUCAAAAGUGAUAGACGGUCUUGCUGUCACUUAUAGAUGGAUCCGCGCUGCAUUAGCUAGUUGGUAAGGUAACGGCUUACCAAGGCAACGAUGCAUAGCCGACCUGAGAGGGUGAUCAGCCACACGGGAACUGAGACACGGUCCAGACUCCUACGGGAGGCAGCAGUAGGGAAUCUUCCACAAUGGGCGAAAGCCUGACGGAGCAACGCCGCGUGAGUGAUGAAGGUCUUCGGAUCGUAAAACUCUGUUGUUAGGGAAGAACAUAUGUGUAAGUAACUGUGCACAUCUUGACGGUACCUAAUCAGAAAGCCACGGCUAACUACGUG